AAAAAUGCAUUCAUUUCAUUCUUUUGACCAAAGCAAUUUAGAGAGAGAAGUGAGGGAGGUAGAGAGAAGGGCUCUCGGCCAAGGUGGAGCUUAAAGGAGAAAUUAAAGGGUGAAGUGUGGUUAUUUCUCAUGUGGAUGACAGCAAGGUUAGAGUAUUUAGGGCUGCAAAAAAACUUUGAUGAAGCAAGACCUCAAGUCCAAGCAAAAUUGUGCCUUUUUAGCCUAAGGUUGAGAUCCUAUGGGGAAGCAUAUACAUGUUGUGUGCAGAUAAAUGUUAAAGAUUCACCGAGUCCAUAAUGAGCCGAAUAUGAUAUAUGAUAUAAUCAUGCAUGAUUUUAUUUCAUAAGGCACAGGUACAGUGAUUUCUUGAUUAUCGGUAUUAUACUUGUCUCCUGAUUGCCUAUUUCAAAUGUGAUCUCCUUUAUGAUAUUUUAUGCUUUAUAUACUCAGUACAUAUGUCGUACUGACCCCCUCUCUUCGGGAGGCUGCAUUUCAUGUCCGCAGGUACAAAUAUUAAUUUUGGGAAUCCGCCAGCUUAGGAUUUCCACUCAGCUAUUUUGGAAGUGCUCCAUUGUCCCGGAGCCUAGAAUUUUGAUAUAGAUAUUUUGAUGUAUAUAUUUAUUUAUCCAUGGAUAUGGCGGGGUUCUGUCCCGUUAUAUGUUAAUGUUGAUAUUCUUAGAGGUCUGUAGACAUAUAUGUGGGUGGUAUAUAGAUGUUUUUCAGUUGUACUAGUAUGACUUAUAUUUUGGAAUGUUCCUAUUCA
Solanum dulcamara is the source of this 763-nucleotide long non-coding RNA. RefSeq lists it as uncharacterized. The transcript is spliced from 3 exons. Lineage: Eukaryota; Viridiplantae; Streptophyta; Magnoliopsida; Solanales; Solanaceae. The record is from RefSeq and is a predicted model, not a curated record.